CAGGCUUAACACAUGCAAGUCGAGGGGCAGCAUGGUCUUAGCUUGCUAAGGCCGAUGGCGACCGGCGCACGGGUGAGUAACACGUAUCCAACCUGCCGUCUACUCUUGGACAGCCUUCUGAAAGGAAGAUUAAUACAAGAUGGUAUCAUGAGUCCGCAUGUUCACAUGAUUAAAGGUAUUCCGGUAGACGAUGGGGAUGCGUUCCAUUAGAUAGUAGGCGGGGUAACGGCCCACCUAGUCUUCGAUGGAUAGGGGUUCUGAGAGGAAGGUCCCCCACAUUGGAACUGAGACACGGUCCGAACUCCUACGGGAGGCAGCAGUGAGGAAUAUUGGUCAAUGGGCGAGAGCCUGAACCAGCCAAGUAGCGUGAAGGAUGACUGCCCUAUGGGUUGUAAACUUCUUUUAUAAAGGAAUAAAGUCGGGUAUGGAUACCCGUUUGCAUGUACUUUAUGAAUAAGGAUCGGCUAACUCCGUGCCAGCAGCCGCGGUAAUACGGAGGAUCCGAGCGUUAUCCGGAUUUAUUGGGUUUAAAGGGAGCGUAGAUGGAUGUUUAAGUCAGUUGUGAAAGUUUGCGGCUCAACCGUAAAAUUGCAGUUGAUACUGGAUAUCUUGAGUGCAGUUGAGGCAGGCGGAAUUCGUGGUGUAGCGGUGAAAUGCUUAGAUAUCACGAAGAACUCCGAUUGCGAAGGCAGCCUGCUAAGCUGCAACUGACAUUGAGGCUCGAAAGUGUGGGUAUCAAACAGGAUUAGAUACCCUGGUAGUCCACACGGUAAACGACGAAUACUCGCUGUUUGCGAUAUACUGCAAGCGGCCAAGCGAAAGCGUUAAGUAUUCCACCUGGGGGAGUACGCCGGCAACGGUGAAACUCAAAGGAAUUGACGGGGGGCCCGCCACAAGCGGAGGAACAUGUGGUUUAAUUCGAUGAUACGCGAGGAACCUUACCCGGGCUUAAAUUGCAGAUGAAUUACGGUGAAAGCCGUAAGCCGCAAGGCAUCUGUGAAGGUGCUGCAUGGUUGUCGUCAGCUCGUGCCGUGAGGUGUCGGCUUAAGUGCCAUAACGAGCGCAACCCUUGUUGUCAGUUACUAACAGGUUCCGCUGAGGACUCUGACAAGACUGCCAUCGUAAGAUGUGAGGAAGGUGGGGAUGACGUCAAAUCAGCACGGCCCUUACGUCCGGGGCUACACACGUGUUACAAUGGGGGGUACAGAGGGCCGCUACCACGCGAGUGGAUGCCAAUCCCCAAAACCUCUCUCAGUUCGGACUGGAGUCUGCAACCCGACUCCACGAAGCUGGAUUCGCUAGUAAUCGCGCAUCAGCCACGGCGCGGUGAAUACGUUCCCGGGCCUUGUACACACCGCCCGUCAAGCCAUGGGAGCCGGGGGUACCUGAAGUGCGUAACCGCGAGGAGCGCCCUAGGGUAAAACUGGUGACUG
Molecule: ribosomal RNA, 1433 nt
Filed under: uncultured organism
Description: 16S ribosomal RNA
Rfam family: Bacterial small subunit ribosomal RNA
Source: RNAcentral